CCUACGGGAGGCUGCAGUAGGGAAUAUUGGACAAUGGGUGCGAGCCUGAUCCAGCCAUGCCGCGUGCAGGAAGAAGGCGUUAUGCGUUGUAAACUGCUUUUGCCAGGGGAUAAAAUAACUGUGCGCAGUUGAUUGAAGGUACCUGGUGAAUAAGCCACGGCUAACUACGUGCCAGCAGCCGCGGUAAUACGUAGGUGGCAAGCGUUGUCCGGAUUUAUAGGGUGUAGAGGGUGCCCAGUCAGCCAGUGGAGAAAUAUCUCAGCGUAACUGAGAGGGUGCCAUUGAUACUGCGGGGCUUGAGUACAGAUGAGGUAGGCGGAAUUGACGGUGUAGCGGUGAAAUGCAUAGAUAUCGUCAAGAACACCGAUAGCGAAGGCAGCUUACCAAGCUGUAACUGACGCUGAGGCACGAAAGUGUGGGGAUCAAACAGGAUUAGAUACCCUAGUAGUC
RNAcentral lists this ribosomal RNA (450 nucleotides) under uncultured bacterium. Its description in RNAcentral is "partial 16S ribosomal RNA". It matches the Rfam family "Bacterial small subunit ribosomal RNA", at positions 338 to 795 of the family's 1533-position model. The record is from RNAcentral.